CUGCCGUGUAUUGGGUGUAGCUCGUGCUCGUGCUCGUGAGUAAAAUCGAUCUUUUUAUCCUACUCAUGUCCAUAAAAACAAUAUUAUUUUUCAAUAGUAAUGUUAAAAAAAUAGUUUGUAACUAGUUGUUUUCUCAAUUAGUUUAAGUCGUACAUCUGUUCUAUGUUUAUAAUGUUUAUUAUUUAUUCAUUAUUUUUAAAUAAUGUUUUAUUAAUUGUUUUAUUUUAUCUUUUUUUUUUUCUCUUGAAUUUAUUCUGCAUUUUGUUUAUAUAUACUAAAAUUUUAGUUAAGAUUUUUUUACUCUCUAUCUCUAAUACAAGAUAUUAACUUUUUUUUUUUUUUAUUUUUAAAGCAAUUUUAUUUACAAUCUAUACAACAUUAUGUACAAUGAGCAAAUUUGAUAGUUGAUGUAAUAAGUAACAGAAUUUAGCAUUUGUGGGCAGGCACUCAACAGCACCACCCGAAAAGAUAUUAACUUAAAAGAGAUAGAUUAUCAUGUAUAUUAUUUAAAAUUUUAAUUCUUUGUAAUUUAUGAUGAUUAAAUGAAAAAUAAAAAAAAUAUAUCCACCUACUAAAUAAUUUGUAUAAAAUUUAACAUUUGAUAUAUAGUGAUGGUUAAAAUAAUUAUAUAUAUAAUAUAGAGAGUUGUUAUAUUUGCAUCG
This is a non-coding RNA of Cinara cedri, 662 nucleotides long. The record is from the annotation of a GenBank genome assembly. NCBI's taxonomy places the organism in Eukaryota, Metazoa, Arthropoda, Insecta, Hemiptera, Aphididae.